RNAcentral lists this ribosomal RNA (349 nucleotides) under Gonioctena viminalis. RNAcentral describes it as "partial 12S ribosomal RNA". The record is from RNAcentral. Lineage: Eukaryota; Metazoa; Arthropoda; Insecta; Coleoptera; Chrysomelidae.
UAUAAGUGUAUUUAUUUAGACUAAGUUAGUAUUAGCUAUGUUCUUGAAAGUUAAAGAUUUUGGCGGUAUUUUAGUCUAUUCAGAGGAACCUGUUCUGUAAUUGACAGUCCACGAUUUAAUUUACUUUUUUUAUUAGUUUACAUAUCGUCGUAAUUUGAAUAUUUUAUAAGAAUUUUAAUAUUCGAAAUUUACUAUAAUAAAAUAAAUNAGAUCAAGGUGUAGUUUAUACAAAAGUAGAAAUGGGUUACAGUAACUAAAAUUAGGAAAUAUUAUUUUUAAAGUAAUAUGAAUUUGGAUUUGAAAGUAAUUUUAAUUAAUUAAUUGAUUUGAUUUUAGCUCUAAAAUAUGC